Molecule: ribosomal RNA, 486 nt
Filed under: uncultured bacterium
Lineage: Bacteria
Description: partial 16S ribosomal RNA
Rfam family: Bacterial small subunit ribosomal RNA
Source: RNAcentral
AUUGAACGCUGGCGGCAUGCCUUACACAUGCAAGUCGAACGGCAGCACGGGUGCUUGCACCUGGUGGCGAGUGGCGAACGGGUGAGUAAUACAUCGGAACAUGUCCUGUAGUGGGGGAUGGCCCGGCGAAAGCCGGAUUAAUACCGCAUACGAUCUACGGAUGAAAGCGGGGGACCUUCGGGCCUCGCGCUAUAGGGUUGGCCGAUGGCUGAUUAGCUAGUUGGUGGGGUAAAGGCCUACCAAGGCGACGAUCAGCAGCUGGUCUGAGAGGACGACCAGCCACACUGGGACUGAGACACGGCCCAGACUCCUACGGGAGGCAGCAGUGGGGAAUUUUGGACAAUGGGCGAAAGCCUGAUCCAGCAAUGCCGCGUGUGUGAAGAAGGCCUUCGGGUUGUAAAGCACUUUUGUCCGGAAAGAAAUCCUUGGCCCUAAUACGGUCGGGGGAUGACGGUACCGGAAGAAUAAGCACCGGCUAACUACGUG